Molecule: ribosomal RNA, 478 nt
Filed under: Halarachne halichoeri
Lineage: Eukaryota; Metazoa; Arthropoda; Arachnida; Mesostigmata; Halarachnidae
Description: LSU rRNA
Rfam family: Eukaryotic large subunit ribosomal RNA
Source: RNAcentral
AUAAGAGAUGAGGUGUAAAGGUGUUUCGUGUCCAACGGUGGCGCAGCUUAAUUAUUAUUGAGUGAGUGCUCGGAGAAGGUGAAAAGCCUGUGAGGUUGUGCUAACCUAUUGAACCGUGACACUGAAGAGUCUAGUUGUUUGAGAGUACAACUUAAAGCUGGUGGUAAAUUUCAUCAAAGGCUAAAUAUACGAGGGGACUAAUAGCGAACAAGUACCAUGAGGGAAAGUUGAAAAGAACUCUGAAGAGAGAGUUCAACAGUACGUGAAACCAUAUUGAGUAAAACAGAUAACUGUGUUGUUAUGUGGUGUGCCUAUCAACAGUCUAUUUGGUGUUGUGAUGCCAUGAGCGUUGGUUGUCGAUUCAGCUGAAAUUGCUCGUGAUUAGCAUAGCCUAAGAUUCUGUGCACUAGUGCGCACUCAAUCAUCGAGAAACUAUGCUGCUGCGGCAUCGGCGUGCAUCGGUCCGUACUCAGUACGC